This 800-nucleotide ribosomal RNA is filed under the name uncultured Glomus. RNAcentral's name for it is "SSU rRNA". It matches the Rfam family "Eukaryotic small subunit ribosomal RNA", at positions 314 to 1114 of the family's 1831-position model. Lineage: Eukaryota; Fungi; Glomeromycota; Glomeromycetes; Glomerales; Glomeraceae. The record is from RNAcentral.
AUCAACUUUCGAUGGUAGGAUAGAGGCCUACCAUGGUGGUAACGGGUAACGGGGUGUUAGGGCACGACACCGGAGAGGGAGCCUGAGAAACGGCUACCACAUCCAAGGAUGGCAGCAGGCGCGCAAAUUACCCGAUCCCGACACGGGGAGGUAGUGACAAUAAAUAACAAUACGGGGUUCUUAAGGAUCUCGUAAUUGGAAUGAGUACAAUUUAAAUCUCUUAACGAGGAACAAUUGGAGGGCAAGUCUGGUGCCAGCAGCCGCGGUAAUUCCAGCUCCAAUAGCGUAUAUUAAAGUUGUUGCAGUUAAAAAGCUCGUAGUUGAAUUUCGGGAUCAAUUUGUCGGUCGUGCCUCGGUACGUACUGGCAUUAUUGGUUUCUACCUUCUGAAGAACCUUGAUGUCAUUAAUUUGGUGUCUUGGGGAAUCAGGACUGUUACUUUGAAAAAAUUAGAGUGUUUAAAGCAGGCAUACGCUUGAAUACAUUAGCAUGGAAUAAUGAAAUAGGACGUUUGAUUCUAUUUUGUUGGUUUCUAGGAUCGACGUAAUGAUUAAUAGGGAUAGUUGGGGGCAUUAGUAUUCAAUUGUCAGAGGUGAAAUUCUUGGAUUUAUUGAAAGACUAACUACUGCGAAAGCAUUUGCCAAGGAUGUUUUCAUUAAUCAAGAACGAAAGUUAGGGGAUCGANNACGAUCAGAUACCGUCGUAGUCUUAACCNAAACUAUGCCCGACUAGGGAUCGGAUGAUGUUUAUUUUUAAUGACUCAUUCGGCGCCUUUACGGGAAACCCAAAGUGUUUGGGUUC